UCCCUGGGGGCUCAGAAGGUAAAGAAUCUGCCUGCAAAGCAGGAAACCCGAGUUCGAUCCCUGGUUGGGGAA
RNAcentral lists this transfer RNA (72 nucleotides) under Bos taurus (domestic cattle). It matches the Rfam family "tRNA". From Rfam's summary of the family: Transfer RNA (tRNA) molecules are approximately 80 nucleotides in length. Lineage: Eukaryota; Metazoa; Chordata; Mammalia; Artiodactyla; Bovidae. The record is from Rfam by way of RNAcentral. RNAcentral also lists the same sequence under 4 other names.